UACCAGCACCUCGAGUGGUCAGGACGUUUAUUGGGCCUAAAGCAUCCGUAGCCGGCUUUGCAAGUCUUCGGUUAAAUCCACCUGCUCAACAGAUGGGCCGCUGGAGAUACUACAGAGCUAGGGAGUGGGAGAGGCAGACGGUAUUCAGUGGGUAGGGGUAAAAUCCUCUGAUCCAUUGAGGACCACCAGUGGCGAAGGCGGUCUGCCAGAACACGUUCGACGGUGAGGGAUGAAAGCUGGGGGAGCAAACCGG
This 253-nucleotide ribosomal RNA is filed under the name Nitrososphaera sp. RNAcentral's name for it is "partial 16S ribosomal RNA". It matches the Rfam family "Archaeal small subunit ribosomal RNA", at positions 474 to 727 of the family's 1478-position model. The record is from RNAcentral. Lineage: Archaea; Thermoproteati; Nitrososphaerota; Nitrososphaeria; Nitrososphaerales; Nitrososphaeraceae. RNAcentral also lists the same sequence under 2 other names.